Molecule: ribosomal RNA, 404 nt
Filed under: Fusobacteriota bacterium
Lineage: Bacteria; Fusobacteriati; Fusobacteriota
Description: Fusobacteria bacterium partial 16S ribosomal RNA
Rfam family: Bacterial small subunit ribosomal RNA
Source: RNAcentral
UGGGGAAUAUUGCACAAUGGAGGGAACUCUGAUGCAGCGACGCCGCGUGAGUGAUGAAGGAAUUCGUUUCGUAAAACUCUGUUCUAUGGGAAGAAAAGGACUGUACCAUAGGAGAAAGCUCCGGCUAAAUACGUGCCAGCAGCCGCGGUAAUACGUAUGGAGCGAGCGUUGUCCGGAAUUAUUGGGCGUAAAGGGUGCGCAGGCGGCUUUACAAGUUGGAUGUGAAAUAUUGUGGCUCAACCACAAACGUGCAUCCAAAACUGCAAAGCUUGAGUUAAGGAGAGGUAAGUGGAAUUCCUGGUGUAGCGGUGGAAUGCGUAGAUAUCGGGAGGAAUCCCGGUGGCGAAGGCGACUUACUGGACUUAAACUGACGCUCAGGCACGAAAGCGUGGGGAGCAAACAGG